Molecule: RNase P RNA, 367 nt
Filed under: Patescibacteria group bacterium
Lineage: Bacteria
Description: RNase P RNA component class A
Rfam family: Bacterial RNase P class A
About the family: Ribonuclease P (RNase P) is a ubiquitous endoribonuclease, found in archaea, bacteria and eukarya as well as chloroplasts and mitochondria. Its best characterised activity is the generation of mature 5'-ends of tRNAs by cleaving the 5'-leader elements of precursor-tRNAs.
Source: RNAcentral
CCAAGCAGGCAGGAGCCGCUGAAUGUCCUGGUGAUGUUCAGAGGAAAGUCCGGGCUUCCUCCCGCGUAAGCCGAGCUUAGCUCGGCGUAAGCGGGAUAAAAAAGUAGCGGCUAACAGCCGUCCGCCGUGAGGCGCGAGGUGCGAACAGAAACGCCCGAUAUCGAAAGAGAUCGGGUAUCCCUCCGGGAUAAGCUCCAUUGGCAACAUUGGAGAUGAAACGGCUAAAUCCUUACUGGAUGCAAGAUCAAACUAUGAGAUUUGAAGCUUGAAUCUCAUAAGACAAGUAGAUCGCCAGAGCCCGCGAGUAAUUGCGGGCCCAGACAGAUGGCUCCCAAUACAGAACCCGGCUUAUUACUUGUUUGGCAAU